RNAcentral lists this ribosomal RNA (617 nucleotides) under Haplosporida sp. RNAcentral describes it as "SSU rRNA". It matches the Rfam family "Eukaryotic small subunit ribosomal RNA", at positions 1130 to 1775 of the family's 1831-position model. The record is from RNAcentral. Lineage: Eukaryota; Endomyxa; Ascetosporea; Haplosporida.
CGCAAGAGUGAAACUUAAAGGAAUUGACGGAAAAGCACCACAAGAUGUGGAGCCUGCGGCUUAAUUUGAUUCAACACGGGAAACCUUACCAGGAUCAGGACAUAGUAAGGAUUGACAGAUUCAAGUUCUUUCUUGAUUCUAUGAAUGGUGGUGCAUGGCCGUUGUUGGUUGGUGGAGUGAUCUGUCUGGUUAAUUCGGAUAACGAACGAGACCUCAGCCAUCUAAAUAGCUCUCGCUAACUUUUAGCGUCCAGCCCAGGCUGGGUUGAGCUUCUUAGAGGGACAAUCUGUGUUCAGCAGAUGGAGGAUUGAGGCAAUAACAGGUCAGUGAUGCCCUUAUAUGCUCUGGGCCGCACGCGCGCUACAAUGGCGCUUGCAACAAGUUCCUCGUUCGAAAGAACUUGGCAACCUCGAAUGAGCGUCAAAGUUGGGAUAGAUGAUUGCAAUUGUUCAUCUUGAACAAGGAAUAUCUAGUAAACGCAAGUCAUCAACUUGCAUUGAUUACGUCCCUGCUUUUUGUACACACCGCCCGUCGCUUCUACCGAUUGAAUUGCUGGGUGAAUUGGAUGGAUUGGCCGAGUUCGCUCGACCAAAAAGUCCCAUGAAUCCAGUAAUUUA